RNAcentral lists this non-coding RNA (96 nucleotides) under Corethron pennatum. The record is from RNAcentral. Lineage: Eukaryota; Bacillariophyta; Corethrophyceae; Corethrales; Corethraceae.
AAAAAGUAAGUUUCUUAGUCACGCUUGUGUUUUGGUUUUGGUUUUGUUUUACUUGCCUCUAUUUUGUUCUUUAUUUUCAUUAAUUUAUGAUCUUUG